UUGGUUAAGUUAGAAAGGGCGCACGGUGGAUGCCUUGGCACUAGGAGCCGAAGAAGGACGGGACUAACACCGAUAUGCUUUGGGGAGCUGUACGUAAGCGUUGAUCCAGAGAUUUCCGAAUGGGGGAACCCACUAUCUUUAGUCGGAUAGUAUCCUUACGUGAAUACAUAGCGUGAGGAAGGCAGACCCAGGGAACUGAAACAUCUAAGUACCUGGAGGAAGAGAAAGAAAAAUCGAUUUCCUGAGUAGCGGCGAGCGAAACGGAAAGAGCCCAAACCAAGAAGCUUGCUUCUUGGGGUUGUAGGACACUCUAUACGGAGUUACAAAAGAAAGUUAUAAAUGAAGCGGUCUGGAAAGGCCCGCCAAAGACGGUAACAGCCCGGUAGUUGAAAUGGCUUUCCCUCCAGAGUGGAUCCUGAGUACGGCGGAACACGUGAAAUUCCGUCGGAAUCCGGGAGGACCAUCUCCCAAGGCUAAAUACUCCCUAGUGACCGAUAGUGAACCAGUACCGUGAGGGAAAGGUGAAAAGCACCCCGGAAGGGGAGUGAAACAGUUCCUGAAACCGUGUGCCUACAAGUAGUUAGAGCCCGUUAAUGGGUGAUAGCGUGCCUUUUGUAGAAUGAACCGGCGAGUUACGAUUUGUUGCAAGGUUAAGCGGAAAAAGCGGAGCCGUAGCGAAAGCGAGUCUGAAUAGGGCGCAUAAGUAACAGGUCGUAGACCCGAAACCAGGUGAUCUACCCAUGUCCAGGAUGAAGGUAAGGUAAUACUUACUGGAGGUCCGAACCCACGCACGUUGAAAAGUGCGGGGAUGAGGUGUGGGUAGCGGAGAAAUUCCAAUCGAACUUGGAGAUAGCUGGUUCUCUCCGAAAUAGCUUUAGGGCUAGCCUCGAGG
Molecule: ribosomal RNA, 892 nt
Filed under: Listeria monocytogenes
Lineage: Bacteria; Bacillati; Bacillota; Bacilli; Caryophanales; Listeriaceae
Description: partial 23S ribosomal RNA
Rfam family: Bacterial large subunit ribosomal RNA
Source: RNAcentral